ACCUCCUUUCUAAGGAUGGAUCGGAUAGCGGACCGGCUUUGCUGGUCAUAGUGCUUCCAAUCCUUCUACAGAACAUGCCGUCGUCCUCAUGUCCCUUCAUCACUGGAGAUUAUCACGCUUGAAAGAGUGUGGUAUCUGCCUGAGCCGGCUUUUGCCCCUCGCGGCGUUUGUGCCGCCAGGCGUGCAUGGGCCGGUAGCUCAGGUGGUUAGAGCGCACGCCUGAUAAGCGUGAGGUCGCAAGUUCAACUCUUGCUCGGCCCACCAACUCUCUUGCAUUGAGUAUUCCCCAUUCUUUGAUUGAGUUCCUCAAGGGGCCUUAGCUCAGCUGGGAGAGCACCUGCUUUGCAAGCAGGGGGUCAUCGGUUCGAUCCCGAUAGGCUCCACCAUUCCUGCCUGGCCGAAAGUGGUCAAGGGCGGUUGAGCGGUGGAUGAGGCGCUUUUUGCAAGACUAUCUCCAGAUGAUGAAGACACGGUAUCCGGCCUGUAAGAGGGUCGGUAGUGCGCGGGAGUGAUCUCGUGCUGCUUCUUUGACAUUGUGAAUGGGUUUUUAAUCGAUGCCGUGGCGCAUGGGUUCACACGACUACGGUCGGUGGGUUGCAUGUGUCAUUAACAGAUGAUUGUAUCUGGCUGAGAUUAUCGUCUGCACCUAUGACAACACGGAUUUUAUGCAGAUCUGAUGUUGAUGGUGUGGAUUCUCAAGCGUGAGGUAAGAGCAUUU
This 718-nucleotide transfer RNA is filed under the name Novosphingobium sp. RNAcentral describes it as "partial contains 16S ribosomal RNA, 16S-23S ribosomal RNA intergenic spacer, and 23S ribosomal RNA". The stretch from base 188 to 261 matches the Rfam family "tRNA". The record is from RNAcentral. Lineage: Bacteria; Pseudomonadati; Pseudomonadota; Alphaproteobacteria; Sphingomonadales; Sphingomonadaceae.